This 360-nucleotide unclassified non-coding RNA is filed under the name uncultured bacterium. RNAcentral describes it as "contains 16S-23S intergenic spacer region". The record is from RNAcentral.
UCUUGCUUACGCAAGCAGUAUCGUCUGACACGUAUAACAGACAACGGGGGUUGCGCUCGUUAAUCCACUUAAGGAAACCAUUCAAAUGACGAGCUGACGACAGCCGUGCAGCACCUGUCCAGAACCCUCGAAGGCGGCCCUAUUUCUAGGGUUUGCAUCUGGAUUUCAAGCCUUGGUGAGGUUCCUCGCUUAGAGUCGAAUUAAACCACAUGAUCCACUGCUUGUGCGAAUUCCCGGCUAUUCCUUUGAGUUUUAAUCUUGCGAUCGUACUUCCCAGGCGGCAGACUUAACGCGUUAGCUUCGCCACCGGAAGGGUCGAUGCUCCCAAUGGCUAGUCUGCAUAGUUUAGGGCGUGGAAUA